RNAcentral lists this long non-coding RNA (286 nucleotides) under Urocitellus parryii (Arctic ground squirrel). RNAcentral's name for it is "lncRNA (ENSUPAG00010003973.1)". Lineage: Eukaryota; Metazoa; Chordata; Mammalia; Rodentia; Sciuridae. The record is from RNAcentral.
AGGCACUGUACCUCCAUUUAAGCAAAACCAGUCUGCGGUCUGUCUGUUGCUGUUUGCCUCCAUUGCCCAGGGACUUCAUGGUAUCCAAUUCUACCAUUUGAAAAUGGUAAGAGCAGGAUAUGCCUUGAAGCGAAGGAAUUCAGAACUUCAACCAAUGAAACAGUGUUGCCUUUAUUCUUACCUCAGCCCUCACCUGUAGCUCUGGAGUUGUAGCUAAGAACUUGGGACAAACCUUACCACCAGGAGUGCAAGAUGCUGGAGUAUUUGAGCAGUCAACAAGAUAAAG